This 1374-nucleotide long non-coding RNA is filed under the name Pandoravirus salinus. Its description in RNAcentral is "putative ncRNA". The record is from RNAcentral.
AAACAGGGCGCCGGGUCCGCGGUCAAUCGAGGUCGAGUUGGCUGCGCAUGGCAACGGCCGCCUCGGCGGGCGACAUGGCCCUGACGCGCGCCAGAUCAAAGAGGACAAUUUGUUUGCGUCCGUCUGGCCGUUGAAUGCGCCCUACAUGCCGCCAUGCGAGGUCGUCGUGACAGAGCCCGUGUGCGGCCAUGCGCUCGAUGGCAUGGACCACCUCGGCUCGUGUCUGCGGAUCCACACAAAGGACGCCUCUGUUUGGCGUCAUCGCGACCGCAUAGGCAAAAGGCAUGAGGAGCGCCGGGCGUCCGGCUAGAUGCAGCACGCGCGCCUCGUCCACGCCCCACAGGGAUCGCCACAGUUGCAUCUCGCGGUACAAAGACGCGGGCUGGACUUUGCCGCAGUCGGCGUUGCGACCCCGUCUGUCGCCGUGGCCAAACUUGAGAACACAACCGCGCGCGUGCCACGCAUCGCCGCGCGAUCGGCAUACCCAGGCGCGGCCGUCGAGGCCUGCGCCCAAGUAGGUGGUCAAGAGGAAGCGGUCGCCAUCUUUGCCGACCCGAUCCCUGGCAAUUAUUUGAUGUUUGCUGUCGGCGCCAUUGUCGGCGCAAUCGGCGUCGCUGUCCGUGUCCAGCGAUACCCAAGACACGGCCGCAGAGUCGACGCACGCGACCAAAGACGAUCUCUCGGUCGCGGCCGUGCCGACGACGGUCGCCAGUGCCGCCGCCAUGUCGUCAAACACGCCGACCAAAAGACGGGCGAGACCAGUGUCGUCGACGUGAUAUGCGCGUGUGCCACACACGCAGACUACAUUGCCAUCCGUAAAGUGCUCCUCGGUGUCCGCAUCGCGGGCAACAGAGGGCGCCCCGUCGGCAAACCAAAAGAGGCGCCAGGUGCCGGCGGCCACAACGACGACAACGGGCUUGGCAACGCCUCGGUAGACAUGCAAGACCAUGAGCCAGUCGGGUACAAUCGCGGCAAGGUCCCCAUGGUCACCGUCGUCGUUGUUGUUGUAGACCAGGACGACUCCCGUAUAGCGUCGGUCAUGCGGUCCGUCAACGAGACGACUGCCGUGUGAGGCGCCACGACAGGUCUCUAGGCCGAGGCCGAUCGCAUCCUCGUGCAUGGCCAAGAGACCGUCGGCGCCACAAAAGGCCCUCGGACCGCUGUUGGGAUAGCGCUCCCUGAGCAUAGCCGACAGCGCCGAGAGGACGCACGUUGUCGGAUUGCCCGAUCGCGUCUUUUGCAACUGACCCCUCGCGCUGGCGAUUGCCGCGUCCGAGAGCGCCGGCGUCGCCAGAGGGACGGCGGCGGGCCGAGGUCGGCGGCCCGCGGUCGCCAUUCCCAGUGCCGAGUCACCCUUUUUUUCCCUUUUUUUUG